Molecule: ribosomal RNA, 330 nt
Filed under: uncultured bacterium
Lineage: Bacteria
Description: bacterial SSU rRNA
Rfam family: Bacterial small subunit ribosomal RNA
Source: RNAcentral
CGUGUAGGCGGUGCGGUAAGUUGGGCGUGAAAUCCCCGAGCUUAACUCGGGUGGGCCGUUCAAGACUGCCGUGCUAGGGUGCGGGAGAGGGAAGUGGAAUUUCCGGUGUAGCGGUGAAAUGCGUAGAUAUCGGGAGGAACACCUGCGGCGAAGGCGGCUUCCUGGACCGUAACCGACGCUGAGGCGCGAAAGCUAGGGGAGCAAACAGGAUUAGAUACCCUGGUAGUCCUAGCCCUAAACGAUGAGCACUGGGUGUGGCCCCUCACGAGGCCGUGCCGAAGCUAACGCAUUAAGUGCUCCGCCGUGGGGAGUACGGUCGCAAGGCUAGAA